GACACAGUUCUAUAGAGAAUGUAAAGAAAAGCAGACAUGCCGCGAGAUGGAGUGAUUUUUUUUCUUUUUCCUUUUUUUUUUUUUUUUUUAAGAGAAAUCUGGUGAGAGAGAGAGAUAGAAAAUGUGGCUCAGGAUAAUGAAGGAACUUGGAGAUAUAAGGUUGGCUCAGCUUGUGAGUUUUUCAGUUCCAGCAUAUGUGUGUCCUUAUUAUCAACCCUCUUUUUUAUGAAGGGAACUUGUGUGAGACCUUCUGUUCCUCAUACGGGAGAUCCUGACUAAAACACAAGCGAUAAAGAGCGAAGGGAACCAGUCCAGAAGCAUCCUGUCCCUCCUCAGAAACAAUGACUGCGACCAUGCUUACCAGGGGUCCUCAGCACUGGAGGUGCCUAUACCCAGCUGGAGGCAAGAAGACUACAGUAACUACGUCUUGGUGUUUGAAGAGAGCCUUGAGCAUCAUUAACCUUUAUAAAAGGUCUUUUUUUUUUUUUUUUUUUUUUUUAAUUAGUGUGCUUGGAAAACUUUGGGUUCCUAACAUUUUUUUCCAAGUUAAAAGAUGUAUCAUAAUGUGAAUUGUUUUGGUUUUCAUCACAUGAUUAGGUAUCAGUAGAGUCCCAACUUAUGAACCAUUAUUUCUAUUUCUAUUCAGUAUCCCCUUAUGUUUUCUUACUUUCCUUUUUAAUUCAUUGAGUGUCUACUAUACUCCAGUCAAAUUUGCAGUCUAGCUUGGGAGAGAAUGACACAUAUACAUAUAUAAUUACAAGCAAAGUAAUAGAUGAUAUACAUCACAAGAGUGAUGACAACCUAACGUUCAUUGUGCUCAAGUUGCAAAGUGGUAUCUGGUGAUACAGCUGAUUUCAAGAUUUCUCGGUUUGCUUAUAUGAUCCUUGAUUUUUAAUUUUCUCUAAAUCUUCUUCCUUGAACUGCUGCUCUCUGACUUCAAAAGCAUUGCUCUGGUGAUGUACAGAAAACGUUCCUUACUCUGAGAUACUUCCUAUACGCUUCUGUCAUCAAAAUAUUUACCUACAGUCAUUGUAAUUGGACAAUAACAUGCAUUAUCAUUUGUACCCAGUCCAAAGGAAGGCUUAGGUUAAAAAUAUCAUGCUUAGAUGAUAGGAUAUCCCUGGAAACAAGUAAUAGUCAUAUCGAAUCUUGAUUCAAUUUGGUAAAUAUUAUCUGACUUCUGGGAAAUCAUGAGACAUAUUGUAGCAACAGAGCAGCAUGUCUCCUACAAUAACCUUUUUAUUUAUUUAAUCCAGCUCAUUAAUAAAGAUCUUCUUUUCAUUUUCCUGAUGUACAAAUACUCCAAAAACCACAGGCUCACAUUUUGACAGCUAAUUUUGCAGGAUAUAAUUUUCCUGCUUAACCCAAGAGGAAAAAGAGACGGAUGAUUGAGAUUAAUCAUUUGUAAAAUUAUAAUUCUGUCACAGAUAAUAAUUUGCAAGAUCUUUUCUUUUUCUGAAUUCCCCAGAAUGCACCAUAAAUUGUCACACUUUGUAAGAGAAUGUGUAACACAUUAGGAGACUUCUAAUAAAGCAAAUCUGCUAGAAAAACAAA
Long non-coding RNA from Mustela lutreola (European mink), 1554 nucleotides. RefSeq lists it as uncharacterized. The transcript has 2 exons. Lineage: Eukaryota; Metazoa; Chordata; Mammalia; Carnivora; Mustelidae. The record is from RefSeq and is a predicted model, not a curated record.